AGACAAGGGGUAGAAUGUGCUGGUUUUGCAUUAAUUGGUAUUUGGUGAAGAGAGAAGAAACCAACCACAGAAAUGAUUUUUCUGAGAGAAGCUGCUAAGAGCUUCUUCUGUGCCUGGAAAAAAACCAAUAGCUGGCUAGUUCUGAGAAUUGGUGAAUCUAAACCAGUCCACCAUUGCAAGAGAAAAUUUUGUCCUUAAGGGCCAACAAUUUUUUAUGGACUGUGCAGCAAGAGUAUGAAAAUGCUCCUGUCUGCUUUCUCUGGUACUGUGAAUGCUCCUACCUGGAUGCCUGCUCUCUCCUUGGAGAGCAGCAGUAGGCAGGGGCUGAUUCCUUUUGGGAAUCCUUGCAGCACCUCUUCUGCGCCUGGAUGCCCAGUUUGAGAGGUGUGUACAAACCUUACAGACCAGCAAAAC
RNAcentral lists this long non-coding RNA (414 nucleotides) under Cyanistes caeruleus (blue tit). RNAcentral's name for it is "lncRNA (ENSCCEG00000024069.1)". The record is from RNAcentral. Lineage: Eukaryota; Metazoa; Chordata; Aves; Passeriformes; Paridae.